This 288-nucleotide long non-coding RNA is filed under the name Capsella rubella. Its description in RNAcentral is "long non-coding RNA (CRUB_LNC000747)". Lineage: Eukaryota; Viridiplantae; Streptophyta; Magnoliopsida; Brassicales; Brassicaceae. The record is from RNAcentral.
GGAAGAGAUAUUACAAUCUAUACUAUUAAUUGGGAAGGACAACUUGAAGCCAAGCACCCCCAAUUUAAAAAAAAAAAUUUCAUGAAAUAUAUUCCAAUUGCCAAACAGAAUUAAUGACAGCAAAAAAAAAAAAACAAAAACAAAAAUUAUCUAUAUUUAUGGAAAGAAAAAAUUGCACAAUAACCUACUUUUACUCAAACUAUUAACCAAAAAACCCACUUCUUGUUACCUCUAUACUUUCCACUAUGAAAAUGACUAUUAACCCCUUCAAAAUCUUUAACUCUUUUC